Molecule: microRNA, 22 nt
Filed under: Zea mays
Lineage: Eukaryota; Viridiplantae; Streptophyta; Magnoliopsida; Poales; Poaceae
Description: microRNA miR-3150
Source: RNAcentral
AAUAGGUUUGGUUUGCAUUUGA